This 386-nucleotide unclassified non-coding RNA is filed under the name soil metagenome. RNAcentral describes it as "partial contains 5.8S ribosomal RNA, internal transcribed spacer 2, and large subunit ribosomal RNA". The stretch from base 1 to 120 matches the Rfam family "5.8S ribosomal RNA", at positions 35 to 154 of the family's 154-position model. The record is from RNAcentral.
GAUGAAGAACGUAGCGAAGUGCGAUAAGUAAUGUGAAUUGCAGAAUUCCGUGAAUCAUCGAAUCUUUGAACGCAAAUUGCACUCUCUGGCAACCCGGGGAGUAUACCUGUUUGAGGGUCAGUGUUAAUAAAAAUCGGUGCGUUGCAAUUUUUGUGACGUUUCCGGAGUUUGAGUUAUCUUAACCCUUCUGUGGUUUAAGAGGCUUAAAAUUGACCUUUUUUUGUGCAUUUUAGACGUACAUAAAUCUUUUUUAUUCGUCCAUCCUAAUGCCAAAAUCUAUUAGAUGCGACCAUAUCAUGUGGUUCCGUAUCCAUAAAUUUUUCAUGAUUUGACCUCAAAUCAGGUAGGAACACCCGCUGAACUUAAGCAUAUCAAUAAGCGGAGGA